CGGACGGGUGAGUAACGCGUGAGAAUCUAGCUUCAGGUCUGGGACAACCACUGGAAACGGUGGCUAAUACCGGAUGUGCCGGAAGGUGAAAGGCUUGCUGCCUGAAGAUGAGCUCGCGUCCGAUUAGCUAGUAGGUGGGGUAAGAGCCUACCUAGGCGACGAUCGGUAGCUGGUCUGAGAGGAUGACCAGCCACACUGGGACUGAGACACGGCCCAGACUCCUACGGGAGGCAGCAGUGGGGAAUUUUCCGCAAUGGGCGAAAGCCUGACGGAGCAAUACCGCGUGAGGGAGGAAGGCUCUUGGGUUGUAAACCUCUUUUCUCAGGGAAGAACACAAUGACGGUACCUGAGGAAUCAGCAUCGGCUAACUCCGUGCCAGCAGCCGCGGUAAUACGGAGGAUGCAAGCGUUAUCCGGAAUGAUUGGGCGUAAAGCGUCCGCAGGUGGCUGUGUAAGUCUGCUGUCAAAGAGCAAAGCUCAACUUUGUAAAGGCAGUGGAAACUACACGGCUAGAGUGCGUUCGGGGCAGAGGGAAUUCCUGGUGUAGCGGUGAAAUGCGUAGAGAUCAGGAAGAACACCGGUGGCGAAGGCGCUCUGUCUAGGCCGCAACUGACA
This 614-nucleotide ribosomal RNA is filed under the name Dolichospermum flos-aquae LCRSM-28. Its description in RNAcentral is "bacterial SSU rRNA". It matches the Rfam family "Bacterial small subunit ribosomal RNA", at positions 99 to 745 of the family's 1533-position model. Lineage: Bacteria; Bacillati; Cyanobacteriota; Cyanophyceae; Nostocales; Aphanizomenonaceae. The record is from RNAcentral.